RNAcentral lists this transfer RNA (85 nucleotides) under Roseomonas genomospecies 6. Its description in RNAcentral is "tRNA-Leu". It matches the Rfam family "tRNA". Rfam says of the family: Transfer RNA (tRNA) molecules are approximately 80 nucleotides in length. Their secondary structure includes four short double-helical elements and three loops (D, anti-codon, and T loops). Lineage: Bacteria; Pseudomonadati; Pseudomonadota; Alphaproteobacteria; Acetobacterales; Roseomonadaceae. The record is from RNAcentral.
GCGGGCGUGGCGGAAUCGGUAGACGCAAGGGACUUAAAAUCCCUCGCCUUUUGGUAUGCGGGUUCGAGUCCCGCCGCCCGCACCA